Molecule: transfer-messenger RNA, 393 nt
Filed under: uncultured Polaribacter sp.
Lineage: Bacteria; Pseudomonadati; Bacteroidota; Flavobacteriia; Flavobacteriales; Flavobacteriaceae
Rfam family: transfer-messenger RNA
About the family: Bacterial tmRNA, also known as 10Sa RNA or SsrA, is named for its dual tRNA and mRNA-like properties. Its role is to liberate the mRNA from a stalled ribosome.
Source: RNAcentral
GGGGACGACUGGUUUUGACAGCAAGACGCGUUAGAAUGUAAGCAUACCGAGGAAUGAAAUCAAGACUCGUUAAACUUAUUUCAACUUUUUUAAACGGCGAAGAUAACUACGCUUUAGCUGCUUAAUCCGAAUUACAGUAGGAUUGGCCUCGGCACACUAGGUGUGCAAGCUUUAUGUCCACGAAAAGCCUUGGUUUGCGGCGUUUCACUUUUGGGCAUCGUAAAUGUAAACAUAGAAAUGUUGGAGCUUCGACAUCAUUUUGAAACUAAAGAAGAUAAGCUUUUAGUGGAUUGUUUUUAAUCAGCUACUAGACGAAAAUUAAUUAAAAACUAAGUAUGUAGAAAGCCUUUUGGCCGCUUGUUUGGACCCGAGUUCGAUUCUCGGCGUCUCCAC